RNAcentral lists this transfer RNA (75 nucleotides) under bacterium. RNAcentral's name for it is "tRNA-Val". It matches the Rfam family "tRNA". Rfam says of the family: Transfer RNA (tRNA) molecules are approximately 80 nucleotides in length. Their secondary structure includes four short double-helical elements and three loops (D, anti-codon, and T loops). RNAcentral also lists the same sequence under 3 other names. The record is from RNAcentral.
GGUCGAUUAGCUCAGUGGUAGAGCGCUUGCUUCACACGCAAGAUGUCACAAGUUCAAAUCUUGUAUCGACCACCA